This 433-nucleotide ribosomal RNA is filed under the name uncultured bacterium. RNAcentral describes it as "bacterial SSU rRNA". It matches the Rfam family "Bacterial small subunit ribosomal RNA", at positions 355 to 786 of the family's 1533-position model. The record is from RNAcentral.
UGGGGAAUAUUGCGCAAUGGGCGGAAGCCUGACGCAGCGACGCCGCGUGGGGGAUGAAGGCCUUCGGGUUGUAAACCUCUUUUACCACUCACGCAGGCCUUGGGUUUUCCUGGGGUUGACGGUAGGUGGUGAAUAAGGACCGGCUAACUACGUGCCAGCAGCCGCGGUAAUACGUAGGGUCCGAGCGUUGUCCGGAAUUAUUGGGCGUAAAGGGCGCGUAGGCGGCUCAUGAAGGCUGUGGUGAAAGUCCGGGGCUCAACCUCGGAUCGGCCGUGGCGACUCGUGGGCUGGAGCACUGUAGAGGCGGGUGGAAUUCCGGGUGUAGCGGUGGAAUGCGUAGAGAUCCGGAAGAACACCAGUGGCGAAGGCGGCCCGCUGGGCAGUGGCUGACGCUGAAGCGCGACAGCGUGGGGAGCAAACAGGAUUAGAUACC